Non-coding RNA from Triticum aestivum (bread wheat), 135 nucleotides. The record is from Rfam. NCBI's taxonomy places the organism in Eukaryota, Viridiplantae, Streptophyta, Magnoliopsida, Poales, Poaceae.
CGAGUAUUUCCUCCGUCCAGAAAUACUUUUCAUCAAAAUAAAUAAAAAGGGAUGUAUCUAGAUGUAUUUUAGUUUUAGAUACAUUCAUUUUUGUUCAUUUUGAUGACAAGUAUUUUCGGACGGAGGGAGUACUCG